Long non-coding RNA from Dendroctonus ponderosae (mountain pine beetle), 387 nucleotides. RefSeq lists it as uncharacterized. The transcript has 3 exons. NCBI's taxonomy places the organism in Eukaryota, Metazoa, Arthropoda, Insecta, Coleoptera, Curculionidae. The record is from RefSeq and is a predicted model, not a curated record.
GACCAUUUUUUGUGUGCAAACUGGGUCGAGUUUAAGCCCGUUUUCAGUAAAAAUAUCUGCUAAAAGUGCUAGUGACUUUCUCAUUGAACUGCAUAAGUAUUUUCCUGUAAGUAUAAGUAUAAUACAGCUUGAGUUAUAACUUCAACACUUCAACUUCGAGAGGCGAUUACAAAAUGAUGGUCAACCUUAAUCAUGCCUUUCAGCCUGCCCCCCUCAGCCCCAAAUACCCUGGAUCUGAUUACGAUUUAGCUUGGUUCCCAACCAGUGCGGACCCACGUUCAAUUCCUUUCCGCAAUAACGAGCCAACGAAUUAAUUCCAUUUAAUUAUGCCCAUUGUGUUACAUCAGAGAUUCGUGCGCCCAUUAAGGUAAUGUUCUAUUAAAACUA